Molecule: ribosomal RNA, 500 nt
Filed under: uncultured Halorhabdus sp.
Lineage: Archaea; Methanobacteriati; Methanobacteriota; Halobacteria; Halobacteriales; Haloarculaceae
Description: bacterial SSU rRNA
Rfam family: Archaeal small subunit ribosomal RNA
Source: RNAcentral
AUAAGGGGUCUCGAGUCGAUGCCAUAUAGCCCUCGCUUUCUACACCGUAAGGUAGUGUACCUAUUAGGGCUGGGCAAGACCGGUUCCAGCCGCCGCCGUAAUACCCGCAGCCCGAAUGAUGGCCGCUAUUAUUGGGCCUAAAGCGUCCGGGCCCGCCAGACAGGUACGUCUGGAAAUUCAGUGCCUCAAACACUUGGCAUCCCCGGAACCCAGCUGGCUUGGGGCCGGGAGAGCUGAUGGGUACGUCCGGGGUAGGAGUGAAAUCCCAUAAUCCUGGUCGGGAAGCCGGUGGCGUAAGCGCCUCAGGAUGACGGACCCGACGGUGAGGGACGAAAGCUAGGGUCUCGAACCCGAUUAGAUACCCGGGUAGUCCUAGCUGUAAACGAUCCCCGGUAGUAGGUGCGCUGGCUACGAGCCAGCGCUGUGCCGUAGGGAAGCCGAGAAGCGGGCCGCCUGGGAAGUACGUCCGCAAGGAUGAAACUUAAAGGAAUUGGCGGGAA